GAGUUUGAUCCUGGCUCAGAACGUACGCUGGCGGCACGCCUAACACAUGCAAGUCGAACGAAGUAGCAAUACUUAGUGGCAGACGGGUGAGUAACAUGUAGGUAUCUGCCCUUUGGCCUGGAAUAACACGAGGAAACUUGUGCUAAUACCGGAUAAGUCUUUACGGAGAAAGCUUUAUGCACCAUUGGAUGAGCCUGCACUUGAUUAGUUUGUUGGUGGGGUAAUGGCCUACCAAGACUGUGAUCAAUAGCUGAUUUGAGAGGAUGAUCAGCCACAUUGGGACUGAGACACGGCCCAAACUCCUACGGGAGGCAGCAGUGGGGAAUCUUGCACAAUGGAGGAAACUCUGAUGCAGCGAUGCCGCGUGAGUGAAGAAGGCCCUUGGGUUGUAAAGCUCUUUCGUCGGGGAAGAAAAUGACUGUACCCGAAUAAGAAGGUCCGGCUAACUUCGUGCCAGCAGCCGCGGUAAUACGAAGGGACCUAGCGUAGUUCGGAAUUACUGGGCUUAAAGAGUUCGUAGGUGGUUGAAAAAGUUAGUGGUGAAAUCCCAGAGCUUAACUCUGGAACUGCCAUUAAAACUUUUCAGCUAGAGUAUGAUAGAGGAAAGCAGAAUUUCUAGUGUAGAGGUGAAAUUCGUAGAUAUUAGAAAGAAUACCAAUUGCGAAGGCAGCUUUCUGGAUCAUUACUGACACUGAGGAACGAAAGCAUGGGUAGCGAAGAGGAUUAGAUACCCUCGUAGUCCAUGCCGUAAACGAUGUG
This 759-nucleotide ribosomal RNA is filed under the name uncultured bacterium. RNAcentral's name for it is "bacterial SSU rRNA". It matches the Rfam family "Bacterial small subunit ribosomal RNA", at positions 9 to 813 of the family's 1533-position model. The record is from RNAcentral.